This 1573-nucleotide ribosomal RNA is filed under the name Luetkenotyphlus brasiliensis. Its description in RNAcentral is "16S ribosomal RNA". It matches the Rfam family "Bacterial large subunit ribosomal RNA". Lineage: Eukaryota; Metazoa; Chordata; Amphibia; Gymnophiona; Siphonopidae. The record is from RNAcentral.
ACAACUACGCUAGCAUAACCACAACAUCACCCACCCAAACAAAACAUUCUUCUAUUUUAGUAUAGGCGAUAGAAAAAUUACAUCCACAAGCAAUAGACAAAGUACCGCAAGGGAAUGCUGAAAAAGAAGUGAAACAAACCAUUAAAGUACUAAAAAGCAAAGAUUAACCCCUGUACCUUUUGCAUUAUGGUCUAGCCAGUCCACACGAGAUAAAAAGACCUUUUAACCCCUACCCCCGAAACUAGACGAGCUAUUUAAAAGCAGCUACAUCUCAGAGCUCACCCUUCUCUGUUGCAAAAGAGUGGGAUGACUUUUAAAUAGCGGCGACAUACCUACCGAGCCUAGUGAUAGCUGGUUGCUCAACAAACGAGUUUCAGCUCCCCAUUAAGUCUUAUUUUAAUUCGAAACAAUAACAAUUAAAACUUAAUAGAAAUUCAAAAGGGGUACAGCCCUUUUGAAAAAGGACACAACCUACAACAACGGGUAAUGAUUACACUAAACCAGGACAAACCACACAGUGGGCCUAAAAGCAGCCAUCUACAAAGAAAGCGUCACAGCUCAGAGCAAUCACAGUCCAACAAUACCAAUAACCCCUCAAAACCCUAAACUUCCCAAAUGAGCCCCACUAUAAAGCUAUAGCUGAACUAAUGCUAGAACUAGUAAUAAGAAACUACAACUUUCUCUACCACACCAGUGUAAGUCAGCACGAACCCAUCACUGAUAAUUACCCACCAUAGCAGACCACUACAAUUAACCAGACACACAGCCAAACCAACCGUUAACCCAACACAGGACUGUAAUAAGAAAGACAAAAAGGUAAAAAAGGAACUCGGCAAACCAUUCCUAGCUUCGCCUGUUUACCAAAAACAUCACCUCUAGCUAAACAACAUGUAUUAGAGGCACUGCCUGCCCACUGAUAUUCUAUUUUAACGGCCGCGGUAUUCUGACCGCGCAAAGGUAGCAUAAUCACUUGUCUUUUAAAUAAGGACUAGUAUGAACGGCAAGACGAAAGCUUAACUGUCUCCUUUACCCAGUCAAUGAAACUGAUCCCCCAGUACAAAAGCUGGAAUUUAAUAAUAAGACGAGAAGACCCUAUGGAACUUUAAGCACGCACCAACCAAUGUUUAACCACAAAAGGCUUGACACGCUGCUUUUGGUUGGGGCAACCACGGAGAAAAACCAUCCUCCAAGAAAUCAAACCAAGUGACACAAAACAAAGUUUUAUCACCUUCCCCAUCGACCCAGUACAACUGAUCAACGAACCAAGCUACCCUAGGGAUAACAGCGCUAUCUUCUUCAAGAGUCCAUAUCGACAAGAAAGUUUACGACCUCGAUGUUGGAUCAGGGUAUCCAAACAGUGCAGCCGCUGUUAAAGGUUUGUUUGUUCAACAAUUAAAACCCUACGUGAUCUGAGUUCAGACCGGAGUAAUCCAGGUCAGUUUCUAUCUAUUUUACAUCUUUCUCAGUACGAAAGGACCAGAAAGACAGGACCAAUAUUAAGUACACGUCCUCUAGCAAACUAUGAAAUCAAAUAAAUAACAAAUACUAAACUACCUCUAAAACAGAGGACCGA